Raphanus sativus (radish) is the source of this 997-nucleotide long non-coding RNA. RefSeq lists it as uncharacterized. The record is from RefSeq and is a predicted model, not a curated record. NCBI's taxonomy places the organism in Eukaryota, Viridiplantae, Streptophyta, Magnoliopsida, Brassicales, Brassicaceae. The transcript is spliced from 2 exons.
CAAACACAAUAAACUUAAAACCUUAAAAUUUGAAUAAACACAAAACUACCAAAUCAUUUUUUUCUUUAAUUAUAUAACCACAAAAUUCAAAUCACACAAGUUUAUAUUUGAAAUGUUAAAUAUGUUCUUAUUUUUAAGUUCAAACCAUUUGUAGAUAAAAUAAAUGUGUUUUUUUCUGCCAUUGAUUAAUUAUAAUCUAAAGGUCUAAAGUCAUUAUCCUAGUGCUCAUUUCUUAUUGGUUGAUUCUUGAAAUCUGGGAUCUCUAUUUUUGGCUAUUGGAUUACAUAAAUCAAUGGCUAAGAAUCAAUGUGGCUCUUUCUCGUUUAGCUUACUCUGUAAGCUUUUCUCUUUUUUUUUUUAAUAACAGUGAACGCUUUUCUCUGUAUCUCAUCUAACAGAUUCAUUUUUUUUCUUCUUCUUCUUCUCUCUGCACCAUCCAUGGUGUAAGGUCCACCAUAUCUCCCAUUUCAACCGUCUCUCACCACCACAAGUCACCUGCAAUCACGUUCGUGACUUCGCCGAACCGGGGCGUCCAAGGCCAGCCAAGCUCCGUCAAGAGAAUCCUCAACCUCUGUAUCUCGCUUUGGAGAGUCGCCGCUCAAAGUCCAAGGAAGAACACGCCCUCUACAGCGCCGGCCCAUGAGAAGAAUCAGCGCCGUCGGAGACAAACCCUAGAACCCCAUCGUCCUCCGAACGGAGGUUGAGUGGAUUCUAAGAAGCAAGGAGGUGGGGGAGACAUAAACACAGUGGAGAAAAACAAGAAAAAAGGAGAAGAUGAAGAAGCUUGGAGGCCUCCACGAUCUUUGCUAUCCAUGUCUUGACGACGGCGUUAAGAAAAGAGGAGGCCUGGUUUUCUUACUAGGUUUAGUUUUGGUUUAGUUUUAGUUUAGUUUUGGUUUAGUUUUGGUUAGGUUUUGGUUUAUACUUUUAAUUUGUAAAUCAUAUUUUUUUUUACAUUAAUAAAAAAAUUAAAUAUAUAAACGAGUUUAAAUUUUAA